GAGUGAGGGCCCUCUGGGUCCAACCUCCCACCCGGGUUUAUUUUACUUUGUUGCUUCGGCGGGCCCGCCUUAACUGGCCGCCGGGGGGCUUACGCCCCCGGGCCCGCGCCCGCCGAAGACACCCUCGAACUCUGUCUGAAGAUUGUAGUCUUGAGUGAAAAUAUAAAUUAUUUAAAACUUUCAACAACGGAUCUCUUGGUUCCGGCAUCGAUGAAGAACGCAGCGAAAUGCGAUACGUAAUGUGAAUUGCAAAUUUCAGUGAAUCAUCGAGUCUUUGAACGCACAUUGCGCCCCCUGGUAUUCCGGGGGGCAUGCCUGUCCGAGCGUCAUUGCUGCCCUCAAGCACGGCUUGUGUGUUGGGCCCCGUCCUCCGAUCCCGGGGGACGGGCCCGAAAGGCAGCGGCGGCACCGCGUCCGGUCCUCGAGCGUAUGGGGCUUUGUCACCCGCUCUGUAGGCCCGGCCGGCGCUUGCCGAUCAACCCAAAUUUUUAUCCAGGU
RNAcentral lists this ribosomal RNA (498 nucleotides) under Penicillium chrysogenum. RNAcentral's name for it is "eukaryotic LSU rRNA". The stretch from base 176 to 329 matches the Rfam family "5.8S ribosomal RNA". Lineage: Eukaryota; Fungi; Ascomycota; Eurotiomycetes; Eurotiales; Aspergillaceae. The record is from RNAcentral.